AAGACUCUACCUGGGAGUACCAGUACUUGGACGGAUUAAAGGGACUGUUUAGAAAAAAAUAAUGAAAUUGCUGCUAAUAUCCUUGUUUAUAUGCUUCCACCACUAUUAUGGUUGGGAGAAUAGGUUUUUACAGCUAGGGGAGACAAUAGCAGGAUCCUUUAACCUCAGUAACUAUUGGGUAUGUGGAGGCCCAGGGGAAUUAGAUGAAUGGCCUUGGGUAGCCCAGCCCGUGCAAGCUAAAUGGUGGAUUAGUAAUUUAAGUAUAGUCCACAAAGGAACGAAGUUUGGACUGAGGAUAGUAGCCCUUGGCGACUCUACUCCUCUGAAGUAGGGAUCCUUUGUCUCAACCGAACAAAACCAGAAGGGGUGUAUGUGGGCAAAAGCCAAAGUGACUGGACUCUAUCUCUAGGACUUGACUGCUAUGAUCACCCUAGUUGCCAUACGUAUGACUGUUCUAAAUAUCAAGGACGGUGGAACCAUACCCACGUAAAACUCACUAAUCAUAGCUGGGUACCAUGUUCCUACCAACAGCAUACUGGCGAAGGCUGUAAGGCAGUUGGACAAGAUGGGUUCUUUGAUGCCCUCUUUCUAAGUUGCCAGCGAGAUAAUACCGACAGUAAGGAUCACGUGGUACGCUGGUAUCAGUGGGCAUGGCAACACUCUAAUGGAACUCGGGUAACCCAUUUUAAUCAUUUUUGGUCUACUACCAAUAGUCCUAAAUUUGGUUGUAAUUGUGCUUGGAGGGAAGGGGCUGGGGCUUGGAAAUGUGACUAUUGUAAUCCUGACGGUACAUCUAUUGUAUUAGGGGGACCCCUGGAGAUGGGUAACUCUUUGUAUUACGAAGAACCGGGCCCCGAGGACUAUCCCGAAACCUGGGAUGGCCCUUUUGCGAAUGAACAAUGGGCCCUAAAAGGCCAUUACUGGAUAUGUGGGCAAUAUGCUUAUCGAAGAUUGCCUCCAAAUUGGUCAGGAAUUUGUUAUGUUGGGUACAUUAGGCCCUUAUUCUUUCUACGACCCCAAAU
RNAcentral lists this long non-coding RNA (1022 nucleotides) under Chrysemys picta bellii (western painted turtle). Its description in RNAcentral is "lncRNA (ENSCPBG00000003291.1)". Lineage: Eukaryota; Metazoa; Chordata; Testudines; Emydidae. The record is from RNAcentral.